UUCUGAAAAUUUAACAAUUGACUUUCACCAGUAGGUCCAGGUGGGCUUCAGCAUUCUAGGAGAAUCACCUGCCCUCAUGGGAAUAUGUAAAUAAACUGAGGACCCUUGACCUCUUUAUUUUUAUUCUUAAGGUUGCUGGCUCGCCAUUGAAACUAUUCUUCCCUGAAAGUAAUGUGACAAACAAUGAGGAGAAAUAAAAAUGAUGGUUCUCAAUACAGUUCUUCACAUAUGCCAGUCCUGGGCCAGCAGUAUGACACACUGGAAGGAGAUAUGAGCUUUGAGUCAUGACUCUGAUCACCGCUCACCAACUGAACAGACAGAUCACUGUUCCCGCGCUGAAGCUCUGAGCUUCACCAGUCUGCAACAGACGGAACCAGGCCUCUGCAGCUCACAGCAUUUAUUUAUUCUCCACCAAAAGUUUCAAACUGUGAACGUGCAGAAGAGGGCAUAAGAAGGGUUACGCAUCUGAAUUCUUCAUUCUGCCUCCUUCCCUCCCUCCGUUUCUCUCUGAGGAAUUGUAGGUGAUCAUCUCCCAAUAACAAGAGGUUAUGAAGAAGAUCUUGUUUGCAGAGGAGGAGAGAAUGGCCAAGGAAUACCUUACUUCAGAUGAGAUUAGAGAAGUGUGUAUAAUAUGGGAAACAGUGAAAAAUUUUGUAGAAAAACACCACCCAAAUAAGGCUGGAGUAGUGCCAGUGAUGAAUCUGUGUAAUGGCAAUGCAGUGUCACAUUUCUGUGAAAUACUCAAAUGAGCAGUUAUUGCUUCUACUUAGAUAUCACCCCCAAAGCCUCAUGCAGUCACAGGUACGGCUUUUCAGAGGUGUCUGGAUCAAGGAUGUGUGAUGCUGGGAUUAAGGGUUCCCCACCGUGGGAGUCAGUGGUACUCAUGCUAAAGGCUUGAAGCCUGGAGAGAAUAUAAGGGACAGAAAGAGGGCUGCUGCUAUAGUUUCCUGCUUGUUAUUUCCCUACUAGCUGCCUUCAAACUGCCCUACUUUGCCAUGGGUUUUUUCUCCUCUGCCAUGCCACCCUGCCUUGGAGCCUGUUGACUAUGAUAGGCUCCUUGUUAAAGUUGCACACCCUGAAAAGUUUCCGUUGAGCCAAUAGAUACCAGUGAUUGUGUUGGUGAUAGUGAAAGUUGCCCUCCUCCUCUUUUGACUCCCUCACACCAGCUAGGAAAGUUUUCAAAGUGCAGGUUAAUUUGGUUAUUUUUCUUUCUACUGUGUAUUUUUUAUUAUUAUGGACUAUAUUACAGUAUUCUAAUGAUUUUUAUGUGAAUUUUUUGAGGUUGUGUAAUGAAUCAUCAGCGUUUCCUUUAUGUUUAGAGGAAAUUUGCUUUGACAUACAAGUACUUGGAUUACAAGUGUGUUCCCAGAACGAAUUAUGCUGGCAAACCAAGGUUUUACUGUAAAUCUCAAAUUCAAAAUAAAUCUAUUCCUAAACUUUUUUAAAAAACUAAAUGAAAAAAAUGUGCCAUACUUUUUGUUCUAAUUGACAAACACAUAAAGAAUGCUAAUGCUAUGUGCAUCCC
Molecule: long non-coding RNA, 1525 nt
Organism: Chinchilla lanigera (long-tailed chinchilla)
Lineage: Eukaryota; Metazoa; Chordata; Mammalia; Rodentia; Chinchillidae
Exons: 3
Source: RefSeq, a predicted model, not a curated record